GAUGAAGAACGUAGCGAAAUGCGAUACUUGGUGUGAAUUGCAGAAUCCCGUGAACCAUCGAGUCUUUGAACGCAAGUUGCGCCCGAAGCCACUAGGCCGAGGGCACGCCUGCCUGGGCGUCACACGCCGUUGCCCCCCCAUCUACUCCUUCGGGAUUGCGGGGGGGCGGAUGAUGGCCUCCCGUGCGCCUAGCCGCGCGGUUGGCAUAAAUACCAAGUCCUCGGCGACGCACGCCACGACAAUCGGUGGUUGCGAAACGUCGGUUGCCCGUCGUGUGCGUUCGUCGCGCAUCGAGGGCUCGAAAAAAUGCUCGGCUCCGGCUGGGCUUUCAACGCGACCCCAGGUCAGGCGGGGUUACCCGCUGAAUUUAAGCAUAUCAAUAAGCGGAGGA
This 391-nucleotide unclassified non-coding RNA is filed under the name soil metagenome. RNAcentral's name for it is "partial contains 5.8S ribosomal RNA, internal transcribed spacer 2, and large subunit ribosomal RNA". The stretch from base 1 to 122 matches the Rfam family "5.8S ribosomal RNA", at positions 35 to 154 of the family's 154-position model. The record is from RNAcentral.